This is a long non-coding RNA of Neofelis nebulosa (Clouded leopard), 4568 nucleotides long. RefSeq lists it as uncharacterized. The transcript is spliced from 2 exons. The record is from RefSeq and is a predicted model, not a curated record. NCBI's taxonomy places the organism in Eukaryota, Metazoa, Chordata, Mammalia, Carnivora, Felidae.
AAUUAAAAAAAAAAAAAAAAAAAGAGUGUGGGUUCAUGCACAUCACGUUGUGUGUCCAGGCAGAAACUGCUAGGGUCCGCCUGCAACGGUUAGCUGACUUUUCCCUUCACCUUCCACAUGGACAUGGCUUCCCUACCCCACUCAAAACAAAUGCACUCUUUUCCUCACUCUCUUUGGUCUCAGCCCAGAAAAGGAGACUCCAACACAUCUUUUAGACAUACUACUUCCCAGCUUAUUGCUUCUCUGGUCCCCUCUUCUUCCUACCUAGGAGUCUAAGACUGACAUUCUCCUUUCACUUAUGAAAUAUCCCUUCUUGCAAAUGCGGCGCAGACCGUACUCCUGCUACCCACGCACUGCUCAUUUCACCAACCCUCUUACUCAGGCCGCUGCCACCUCACAUCUUUGCCGGCAGCCCAAUGCAUGGUGCCUGAACUCAGCUGUAGGAGAGCAAAGACAAUUCCUGUGGAAGUGCCUGGAGCAGCACAGACCUCUGGGUCACGAGAGUCACGCAUCUGUCCAGCUUCCAACAUUGCACAGUGGAGCAAACUGUCAGCAAGAGAAGUAGAAUCUUUGACUUUGAAGAGCUGGGACUUCCUGGAGAAAUGUUGCUGAAAUCUUGAGAUCCUCAGCUAAGUUAAUUUACAACUAUGUAGUGAGAGAACUCUCGGAAGAUUUACCUAACUCUGAAGGUGUGUUUACAUUUCAAGGGCAAAUGAGACCCAUGACCUUGGAAAUAGCUCUAGGUCAUAAAAACUGGAGCCACCAGGGUUGCUCUGGCUCCUGCAGAGAUGUAUUUAUGUUCCAAAAGGUUAGAGGGAGAACCCGGGAUCCUUUCCAUCCUGUUUGCAAGCAACAAAGGUUUUUCUCCCUUCUGGGAGAAGAGAAGGAAGCAGUUGCCUCUUCUGUAUAGAAGCAAGGAAAAUCCAUUCUUCUCCAUCCCUCACCUAGGGAGUGUCUAACCACCUAUGCUGGAGAUUUUGCCAUCUGGCUUUCAUUAAUAAAGGUGCAUAUGAAAAGCCCAACAGUUAUUAUGGCAGCAAAGAUGAUGGUAUCCUAUUUGUCACGUGGUUGACUGGAAGAGACAGAGCCCCAAGGCUGGUUAGCAGGAUUUAAAGGAUAUCCACAGGAAUCAGAUCUGUUAAAAAGAUUGAGAAAUUUGUUAGGGAUUAGGAGAUAGGCUUGGAAAGUGAGGAUUGGGAUUUUGCUCUCUGCUCUGGGUGGACCCAGAAAUCCUUCAGGGUGGGCUUCAGGUGGGACAGGAGAAGCUCGUGUUGCUCCUGCAGGUGAGAAGAGAGACUUACUCAGCUCCCAAGGCAAGAGCAAGACUGGGAGGACCGCACAGCUACAGGUAUUGAGUCAACACUACAGGGAAGGGUGUGGAGCACCACCUUGGAGACGCUUCCUUGCUCCCCUCUGCUCCUUAGUUCCCCUGCGACUCCAGACUCCAGCUGACUUUCCUGUCUCAGAAGGCACUGCACUAAUCCCUUUACACCCACCAGGGGACAGGGAGCCUGGAAUGUUGACAGUUCUGUGGAGAGAGGACUCAGGGGUAAAUGGAGAUGCUGAGGAAUGCAGAGUGGAACGCCUGGCCUGGCCUGUGAGCUAGCAGGAGUCCUGGAGCAUUCUCACAUAGGCCAAAGACAAAGGAGAGGGCUGUUAUAAAACACCACCCUGCUGCCUGCAUUUUGCCCCACUUCUACAUUCCCCACCGGGGAGGAAACAGCUUCUCCCUGCAGCUGUGAUUUUAUCCCUGUAAAUGCUGAUUUUAACUGUCAGGAGCUUGUGGAAAAAUUUGCAGUGGGGAAAAAAGAGGAGCUUAAAAAUGACUUUGUAUUGUUGUCUGUGCUGUUACACCUGAAUGUAUGGCAGAACUUGAUUUGGAGGUUAUAAGCUUGUCCUAAGUGCUCGAGAGGGAUCAUCUCACCUCCUCCAUCACGGAAGGCUGCUAAGAGAAAGCUGCCCUUGCCUUUUGUCACCUGUGAGUGGAAUGGAUGUCUCUUAGCCCUGAGGUUCUCUGGCAACAGGGAGAAAACUGUUGGCUUCUUACCAUAAAUUUGGAGACCUGAAAUCUUACUAGAUUAUAGGUGUGAGAGACAGACCAAGUCUCCAUGCCAGAUUUUUGCUGUGAUGCUCGCCUUAGGAAAGGUAGUAAGGCCAAAGCAAGAAGGGGGACAGCUUCCAGAGUCAGGUACACCGUAGUAGAAGUUUUUGACAUGGAUACUACAUAGUGUCUUUUUGAAAAGCAGCUUAUGAGCUUGUUACGGAGCUCUUGUGGAAUUCAGAUGUGCCCAUUCGUGGAAUGGGUCAACUCACACUCCGUGACCGACAGGUAAAAGGAGCUUUUACAAAAAUCCUUGUAAGAAAGGCCUUGCUAGCCGAGCAGCGGUUCUGCUUUGCAUGAGAAAGGGGCAGAGCGAUCUCCUCUAGCUGCCCCAAGCAAGGAAAAGCCACUGGCUUUUAGGGGCGGAGAGUCAGGUUUUCAGCUCUCCUAAGCUAAAAAGAGGUGUGGUGCCUCUCUCCUACCCCGCUUUGUGAGCUGAACUCAGAAUGUUCAAAGACAUCCUUCUGUGAGGCUGUGAGCUGCAGAAACGAAUCCUGAACACGGGCGGACCUGUCUGGAUCGCACACAGGUGCCCACGGAAAGGGCUGUUGUCCAGGAGGCCACCGCUGACGGAGUCUGCCCCAUCCCUAGCAGCCCCUCCGCCCGCUCAGGUGGAUGGAAUCAGAGGGGACUCUGGGACCUCCCUCGGUGAGAUCUCAUUGCUGUUGGCUUUUUGCAGUCAGCCUUUCUGACCUUUGCAGUCGGGUCAUUUGUGCCUCCUCUGGUUCUGGCAGAGGUCACUUAACCAUCAGCUGCUGGUCGGAUUCGCCUUCUCCCAGUACACACACCUCAGGAAGGCAGCUUGAUGAUCAAUGCAGCCGUCACCAGGGAGGGCAGAUUCUCUGAGCUUUUCACUGGCUCGUGGUCAGAAAGGUAGGAGUGAGGGCAGUAUAGAUCUAUUUCAAAAAAUGUUUUCAUUCAGAAUUCUGCCCUGACCAGUCUCCUGCAUAUGAUGUAUCUUUCUCCCGCUUGACAAUCAUCCCAGGUAAGCUUGCCUGCAAAGGGUCUCAGGAGAUGCAGAUUUCAUAAUUAAGUCUGUUUGAAUUGUGUGCAAAUGUUCUGUGAAAAGGCUUUUUGUCUCUCUCACACCCAACCCUUAUGGACGAAAUGUCUGGGUGAGAGGAGUGUAUGAUGGGAAAAACUUUGUGAAGUCACAGUAAGGAGACACACUGACUCAGUAACAAUGAAAGGAAAGUCAAAAGCAAGGCCCUAGAGAAGGAAGAACUUCACACCCAGGAGAUGGAGGGCAGGGGAUUCAUGACGCUUGCUUUCCAGAAUCUGCUCCUGGAGCCCUCCUCCCCGCUGCUCUCCUGACCUGCUGCCCUGUACUCCUCUUCUCAACUGCCUUCCUUGCUGCUGUGAGCACUCCAAAUUCAAACUGACCACCGAGCGUGCUCCUGCUGCCUGACAGCUGACCGGACAGGAGGGGGUGGGCCCAGCUUCCGCAUGGUCCACGUAUAACAACUCCAGGUACCGUCUGCACCUCAGGAACAGAUGAUCGGGUGUCACGAGCAAGCUGGACUGCUUGAAACUGAUUGCCUGAAGGCAAUCCCUCUGAAAACAAGAACUGAACUGAUUUAUUUGGGCUGAAGUGGGGAACCCCAAAACCUAUUAACUGGUCGAAGGCCACAUUAGGGAUCUUGUGCACUUAUGCUGCCUAACUGAUGUAUAAUCCCCCGCGUGCCCUCUGGGGCUGUGUGUUUGAAAGGCAGGCAUUAACUUCUCUCUGGUGAAAACACUGACCUACACCUAGACACGGUUAUCAGGAAUGUUCAAGUGUUUAUAGAAACACUACAGGUAGACCAAGGAGCCCUCAGACACAUACUCUUAGGGCAGCUUGCCUACAGUGUUAUUCCAUUAGAAAGGUGGUAUGAAAUUUAUUCCUCACAUUUUCAUUGAAGGGAUUUACGGCUCCAUCUCAGCCUCAAAGACAUUCAGGUCAGCUUCAACUCACUGGGGCCAAUUACAAGGAUGACGGAAUUUGCUCUAGAUUUCCUUCUUGCAGGCUGUGGCAAAGUCCAUACAAAGUAUUAAUACAUCCAGCUGAACCUGGGUAUAUGCCUCGGGCCAGGUAGGCAAGGUUGAUUCAGAAACCUGAGGAAGCCACCAGCCAUUCUAAGGUAGACCUUGAUGGUAAAUGAGAUUUUGUUCAAUUGACUAAAACCAGAAGGACCUCGGAGGCUGAGGCGAAGACCACUGCAGUGGGAAUGACCUCAUCCUGCCCUUGGAGUUCUGGGGGCAAUAGCUGGGUAUGUGCUGUUUAAGACAAAUCCAGUGGAUUUGGUCCUAUCUCCUGCCAGUCAGAUUAAAAGAAAAUGACCAACAGAGUGGCAUAUUCUAGAAAAACUUACCAGGAGCCAACUAGGGAGAAACAUAAGAGGUGGAAUCACUGGGUAGAGAGAAAAUAGUUUUUGUGUUUCUGCACUGUUGGGAUUUCCUGAAUAAAUUUGCUGAAAAUCAGCUAAGA